RNAcentral lists this long non-coding RNA (697 nucleotides) under Gallus gallus (chicken). RNAcentral describes it as "long non-coding RNA NONGGAT005715". The record is from RNAcentral. Lineage: Eukaryota; Metazoa; Chordata; Aves; Galliformes; Phasianidae.
UCUGCAUUAUAUAAGCUUGUUUUAUGAAACUGCUGUAUGUUGUAAAAUAAAGCAUAUAGGACUUAUCUGUCAAACUAAUCAGUUUAUAUAGAAGUGAAGUUAAUGGAAAAAGCAAAUAUCAUGUAAAAGUCACAUACUUUAUUGAUCAGCUGUGUUCUUCACAGACAACUCGCCCUUUCUUGGUAAAUUUCUUUCAAACUGCACACUUAAUUCUCAAAUGAGUUAAGUUAACCUUGUUAACCUCAAAGUGGUUAUAAUUAGGAUAUUGAAAAGAAAUAAUUGUUUUAUCUUAUCAAAUUUUAUCUAACAGUUUUUUGCUUUAUUUUGAGCUACAGAAUUGUGAAGGGCCAGAAAUCAAGAGAUUUACAGAAUUGCAAGAAAGCAUUAUUUUGGAAGAAAUGAACAGUAAUAAAUUUCACAAUGAGGUCAAGUAAGGCAGUACGGUGCAUGCAGAAGACUUAACAACAGUGAUGAACUCUGAUGAACAUCCCCUUUCCGAACAUGACAAUUAUGCCACUUGAUACACUGAACAUUAAAGAAUUGCAAAUGCUUUCUACUGAUUAAUGUAGCUUUCCUACCUCUGGUGGCACUACUUUACUGUGUCUAAAUUGUAGUUUCUCUCUCAAGUUAAGUUGUAGUAAGUGAACAAAUACUUUUCCCAAGUAAAGCUGUUUCUAUACAUAGUCCAACUUACAGG